Long non-coding RNA from Carassius gibelio (silver crucian carp), 1385 nucleotides. RefSeq lists it as uncharacterized. The transcript has 3 exons. The record is from RefSeq and is a predicted model, not a curated record. Lineage: Eukaryota; Metazoa; Chordata; Actinopteri; Cypriniformes; Cyprinidae.
GCCGUUUCGCACACUGCAUUUCGUGGUCGUAAUUCGCAUGUCGUGUGUGUAACAGAGCUAUUGUGAAAACAAGCGCCGUGUCUGUAAACUGUCACAGUCGUACAUUUUAGAGUUGUACUCUAAAAAACACACAAAAUCGCGUAUCUGUAAACUGUCGUGGCCGUAGAUUUUGGAAUCCAACUCUGACAAAAAACAGAAUUACGUACAAUAGUUUUAAAUUACGCACGAGUAUAUUAAAAUUACACACAAAUGUUUUGAAUUACGUGCGAUUAUUUUUGAAAGUGAUUUUAUUCCAUACAAAUCACACCUGCUUGGAAGUUUCUAGUAAUCCUGAAGACCUUGAUUAGCUGAAUCAGAGUCAUCAAGGAUCCAGCUUGUUCUUGAAACAUUGAAGUUUGCCCUCUGCAAGUGAACGAUUCCUUGUGGUGCCAUCCCAAAGAAGUUCACAAUCACCCUCACGGAUCUUUUCCUGGACUGUGCCCAGCUGCUGGAAUCACCUCCCAAUCUCAAUCCGAGCUGCUGAGUCUUUACUCAUUUUCAAGAAACAUCUUAAGACUCAUCUUUUUCACCAGAACUUAACCAACUAAUGCUAGCACUUUUCCUUCUUUUCUUGUCUUUCAUAUUGAAAAAAAAAAAAAAAAAACCUGGCUAUGCGUUCUGUACUAGACUAACUGAGACUUGUCAUGGCACUUGUAUACUGUUGUUGUUCGCUUGUACACCUGACUGCUUCUGUUCUUCUCAUUCGUAAGUCGCUUUGGAUAAAAGCGUCUGUUAAAUGAUUAAAUGUAAAUGUUUAUACAGGACGGUACAGAAAGUGCACAAGUGGGAGAGAGUGGAGGGGACGGCGUCAGAAAGGACCUAGCGCUGGGACACUUUCAAGGAUCACCCGAAGCACAACCACACUGUAUACACUAAGGCUGCUGGUUCUAACAUUUUAGAGUGCCCUGCGGUAGAAAUCUCAUUCUGCAUUCCCCACGGUAAAGAAGACACAGUCCGGGGGGGUUCCCAUUAGAAAUCAACUGGUGGAAGGUUCCCUUCUCGAACUGUUCAACACAUUUUCACUGCACAAAUGUACACAACUCUUGUAAUGAGACACAUUACUAAAACAUGUUUUUGACAGAAACUGUAGGUUUCCACCAAAAUAAAAGAUCCACUGGUUUCAGUCAUAAAGGUACAAGGGUUUGUCUUGUAAGUGCUGCAAAAAAAUAUGCAUUUAUGUGCCAAAUUAUUUCACAAAAACCUUUAAAUAUUAUUGUAUUUGGAUUGUUCUACUACAUGUUUUUAGCAUUACCUCCAUGCAUACUCUGCAUAAUAAAGUGUGGGAUUAUUUUCAUCUGUUUUAUACAGUAUGUUUCCAAAAUUAAACUGCUGUUUGACAAUUUUGA